GAAGUCAACAUGAAAUCAAAAUAGAUCAUUCUCAAAUGCCAUUUACGUUUCUUGGCGACUUCAAAGUGGAACUGCAAAGAAAGUAGUGCAGGUUUGGAACAACAUGAUGGUGCGUUAUUGAGUUAAUCAUGACAGAAUUUCGUUUUUGGAUCUCCCUGGGUGGAGGCAUAAAAAUCCCUAAAAGGACAUUUGACCGAUUGUCAAGGACCAAAAUGUCCGUGUUUACACAGGAGCUAGCAGUUGUUAUUUUUGGACGUGAGGCUUUGGCCACGUCCAGUCUAACAGGAAAGAAAACAAACAAAACACCACUGGACUCCAUCAAAGUCAAUUCACUCGUUGAUGCAGUGAUUGAUCGAUUUCAAGGGACCACUCCAUCCCAAGUCAGGGCUGUGCUUCGCCAAAAGUGUAACAAUGAAAGUUAUGCUAAAAAAAAUCAUGAAAGUGGAGUGGUUAAGGGUGAUGAUAGGAAUUAAGUUACCUUUAUGCAAUAGACUUGUCUGAGGGUUAGUUAAAAGGGAUAGUUCACCCAAAGAUUUCUGUCAUCAUUUACUCACCCUCAAACAUUCCUCCAAAUGCCUUACAUUGUGUUGAGUAGAACAAGGAAAGAAAAGAAAUGUAUACAGGUUUGAGGGUGAGUAAAUGAUGACAGAAUUUUCAUUUGGGUGAACUAUCCCUUGAAUUUAUAGUUUAUGCGUUCUUCAUUUGUUAUUUGUAGUGUUGGUAGUUCUGGAAUGUUAAAAUGUACUCACUGUUAACUUUUUUAUUUUAUAUUUCUAAGAAACUGCAAGUUUAAUAUAAAAGUUGUAAUUUAAAAAUAUUUAAUGUUUACUUUUAUUUUUCUUUCUAAAGAAUGGGUAACUGCAAGUUUAAAAUACAAUUUGUAAUUUAACUUAAGCCUUUGUUUAUCUGCUUUUUUUCUUUAUCGAUUUGAAUUUUUUUGU
Triplophysa rosa is the source of this 941-nucleotide long non-coding RNA. RefSeq lists it as uncharacterized. The transcript is spliced from 3 exons. The record is from RefSeq and is a predicted model, not a curated record. Lineage: Eukaryota; Metazoa; Chordata; Actinopteri; Cypriniformes; Nemacheilidae.